Molecule: ribosomal RNA, 253 nt
Filed under: uncultured bacterium
Lineage: Bacteria
Description: partial 16S ribosomal RNA
Rfam family: Bacterial small subunit ribosomal RNA
Source: RNAcentral
UACAGAGGUCCCAAGCGUUGUUCGGAUUCACUGGGCGUAAAGGGUGCGUAGGCGGUCGGGUAAGUCUGUAGUGAAAUCUCUGGGCUCAACUCAGAGUCUGCUGCAGAAACUGCCGUGCUUGAGUGUGGGAGAGGUGAGUGGAAUUCCCGGUGUAGCGGUGAAAUGCGUGGAUAUCGGGAGGAACACCUGUGGCGAAAGCGGCUCACUGGACCACAACUGACGCUGAGGCGCGAAAGCUAGGGGAGCAAACAGG